Molecule: ribosomal RNA, 460 nt
Filed under: uncultured bacterium
Lineage: Bacteria
Description: partial 16S ribosomal RNA
Rfam family: Bacterial small subunit ribosomal RNA
Source: RNAcentral
CCUACGGGUGGCAGCAGUGAGGAAUAUUGGUCAAUGGACGAGAGUCUGAACCAGCCAAGUAGCGUGAAGGAUGACUGCCCUAUGGGUUGUAAACUUCUUUAGGCGGGGAGCACUGCCGGGCACGCGUGCCCGGAGGGAGAGUACCCGCAGCAUAAGCAUCUGCUAACUCCGUGCAAGCAGCCGCGGUAAUACGGAGGAUGCGAGCGUUAUCCGGAUUUAUUGGGUUUAAAGGGUGCGUAGGCGGAUUUUUAAGUCAGCGGUAAAAUGUCCGGGCUCAACCCGGGCCGGCCGUUGAAACUGGGGAUCUUGAGUGGGCGAGAAGUAUGCGGAAUGCGUGGUGUAGCGGUGAAAUGCAUAGAUAUCACGCAGAACUCCGAUUGCGAAGGCAGCAUACCGGCGCCCGACUGACGCUGAGGCACGAAAGCGUGGGGAUCGAACAGGAUUAGAUACCCUUGUAGUC